AGCGAACUGAUUAGAAGCUUGCUUCUAUGACGUUAGCGGCGGACGGGUGAGUAACACGUGGGCAACCUGCCUGUAAGACUGGGAUAACUCCGGGAAACCGGAGCUAAUACCGGAUAACAUUUUCUCUUGCAUAAGAGAAAAUUGAAAGAUGGUUUCGGCUAUCACUUACAGAUGGGCCCGCGGUGCAUUAGCUAGUUGGUGAGGUAACGGCUCACCAAGGCAACGAUGCAUAGCCGACCUGAGAGGGUGAUCGGCCACACUGGGACUGAGACACGGCCCAGACUCCUACGGGAGGCAGCAGUAGGGAAUCUUCCGCAAUGGACGAAAGUCUGACGGAGCAACCCCGCGUGAGUGAUGAAGGCUUUCGGGUCGUAAAACUCUGUUGUUAGGGAAGAACAAGUACAAGAGUAACUGCUUGUACCUUGACGGUACCUAACCAGAAAGCCACGGCUAAACUACGUGCCAGCAGCCGCGGUAAUACGUAGGUGGCAAGCGUUAUCCGGAAUUAUUGGGCGUAAGCGCGCGCAGGCGGUUUCUUAAGUCUGAUGUGAAAGCCCACGGCUUCACCGUGGAGGUCAUUGGAAACUGGGGAACUUGAGUGCAAAAAAGAAAGCGGAUUUCCACGUGUAGCGGUGAAAUGC
This 641-nucleotide ribosomal RNA is filed under the name Bacillus sp. Al-Dhabi-17. RNAcentral describes it as "bacterial SSU rRNA". It matches the Rfam family "Bacterial small subunit ribosomal RNA", at positions 65 to 689 of the family's 1533-position model. Lineage: Bacteria; Bacillati; Bacillota; Bacilli; Caryophanales; Bacillaceae. The record is from RNAcentral.